AACGCACGAGACCUGCGGACCUGCGGAAGGAUCAUUAAUGAGAAGCUGCCCCUCGCGGGUAGAUCUCCCACCCUUUGUAAACUUACCUUUGUUGCUUUGGCAGGCCCGUCUCCGGACCGCCGGCUUCGGCUGGCCAGUGCCUGCCAGAGGAUUCUAAAACUCUGUCUGUCAGUGUUGUCUGAGUCUAUAUACAAUCGUUAAAACUUUCAGCAAUGGAUCUCUAGAUCGGAAGAGCACACG
This 240-nucleotide unclassified non-coding RNA is filed under the name soil metagenome. Its description in RNAcentral is "partial contains 5.8S ribosomal RNA, internal transcribed spacer 2, and large subunit ribosomal RNA". The record is from RNAcentral.